GGGAUGGAAUCUAUCCCUCGCCCAGUAGCAGAAUAGGGACCACUAGGUAAGUACAAAACCAUUUAACAUACAUAUAUUUGAAAAGCAACUUCAUAGUAUAAAGUCAUCCAUCAUUUAUACUAUAAAGAGGUGUUCGAAACAUGUUCUACAUAUUAUAUCGUCAUCCAUAAGAUAUUCUAUAAAGAACACAGGUUAUAAGGAAAAUAGUAAUGAUUCAAACUAACCUCAAUAAGCAUGUUAUCUCAUAAAACGUUUCAUAAAACAUAAUCAUUAAAUCAUGUUUUUCAUGUAUGCAUUAAUACUGUUAAAACAUGCAUUUUUAGAAGGGGUCCACUCACAUAUACUUAGCUGUCGAAGAGCCACGCAAACUAGCAAACAUGAAAUCGUCACAAUAUAUGCACCUAAGCACAUCAAGGGUACAAUUAAUAAAGCUCUAUCCAAAAAAUUUAAUUUGGGAAAACGAACGUCAAAAAAGGAUUCAAGACGUCGAAUUACUCUAAAAUGGGUCCCGGGUAAAUUUCGUAAAAGUUCAACACGAGAACAUUCUAGAGAAUAUUCCUAGGAAGGUUCCAACCGAGUUCAGGGCUUAGGGUUUGGACUUAGGUUUAGGUUUAGGUAGGUUGGGCUUAGGAUAAUGGGUUAAUGAGUUAAGGGUU
This 656-nucleotide long non-coding RNA is filed under the name Malus domestica (apple). Its description in RNAcentral is "long non-coding RNA (MDOM_LNC000847)". Lineage: Eukaryota; Viridiplantae; Streptophyta; Magnoliopsida; Rosales; Rosaceae. The record is from RNAcentral.